UUGAAAGGGAAACGAUUGAAGUCAGUCGUACCAGCGGGAAAUCAACCUUUCGAGUGGGGUUUUGGGUUUUGAAGAGUGUCAAACCUUCGAGAUUUCAAAAUGUUCUCUCUUUUGGUGUACUUUCUCGCAGGUAGGUUAACAUCGAUUUUGAUCAUCAUAAAAGGAUUGGAGGAAUGUAGCUUCGAUCUCGUAUUGAAGUGUUAUAGCCUUUGGUAAAUGUGAUGAUUGGGAUCGAGGAUUGCAACGAAUACCCUUUUGGGCUAUCCGCCUGAUCUCUGAUACGUGGCCUUGGUAUCGAAAGCGUGCUUAUGGUAUUAAGGUAUUACGGUCAAAAGGUUAGAACGGAUUACAUUCGUUAAGGAUGUUGACGUA
This 372-nucleotide ribosomal RNA is filed under the name uncultured Glomeromycotina. Its description in RNAcentral is "eukaryotic LSU rRNA". Lineage: Eukaryota; Fungi; Glomeromycota. The record is from RNAcentral.